AUGCUCUGGGCCUGUAAGGAGGCGGUUAGUGGAGGGAAAUGCAAAGUCAACUGGCAAAAGGUCUGCCGCCCCAAGGAGCUCGGUGGUUUGGGGGUUCUGGACCUGGAGAGGUUCUCCCGGGCCCUGAGGCUUCGCUGGUUAUGGUAUGAGUGGAAGGCUCCUGAGAAGCCAUGGGUGGGCUCUGAAACACCCAACGACGCCUCCGACCUUGACCUCUUCAAUGCGGCUACUCGCGUCACCAUCGGAAACGGCGCCAAGGCCUCCUUCUGGUCGUCUUCAUGGCUCAAUGGUGCCCCGCCAAAAGACCUGGCUCCCCUAAAUUUCAAGGCUUCCAAGAGGAAGAAUCGGACGGUCCAGGACGCUCUCGCUGAUAACAACUGGAUCUCGGACAUAGCGGUGGAUGCGUUCAUGGCCGAUCACAUGGAACAAUACGUCUGCCUCUGGGAGCUCUUGUCGGAUAUCCAGCUUCAUCCUGACACUGAGGACUCCAUUACCUGGUCCUUGACCCCUAAUGGGUGCUACUCGGCCACCUCCGCCUACAAGGUCCAGUUCCUUGCCUCUUUGCCCUGCCAGUUCGGGAACAUCGUGUGGAAGACCUGGGCCCCUCCAAAGUGUCGUUUCUUCGCCUGGCUCGCUGUCCAGAACCGUUUAUGGACCGCCGAUCGCUUGGUGAAAUGCGGAUGGCCGCACCAACCUACUUGUCAGCUCUGCCGUUCCUCCCCUGAGACGGCACGACACAUUCUUUUCGAGUGCCGCUUCUCCAGACGUAUCUGGACGGCCGCGGCCUCUUGGCUGUCUUGUCCAGACCUCAUCAGCAGCAUCGGGGAGGGUAGGCCUAAAGUCGUGGACUAUUGGUUGGCCGUUUCGAAGUCCACCACCUCCUCCCCAAAUGGCUUGCGCUCAGCUAUCACGCUCAUCACUUGGGAGAUCUGGAAAGAGAGGAACGAACGAGUUUUCAACAACAAGUCCUCCCUGCCAUCGGUUGUCAUGCAUAAGAUUAGGGAAGAGGGGAAGGACUGGAUCCUCGCCGGUGCUAAAAAUCUGGCGGAACUUGUAGGCUGA
This 1062-nucleotide ribosomal RNA is filed under the name Triticum aestivum (bread wheat). RNAcentral describes it as "partial small subunit ribosomal RNA". Lineage: Eukaryota; Viridiplantae; Streptophyta; Magnoliopsida; Poales; Poaceae. The record is from RNAcentral.